Molecule: transfer RNA, 72 nt
Filed under: Bos taurus (domestic cattle)
Lineage: Eukaryota; Metazoa; Chordata; Mammalia; Artiodactyla; Bovidae
Also listed under: 5 other names
Rfam family: tRNA
About the family: Transfer RNA (tRNA) molecules are approximately 80 nucleotides in length. Their secondary structure includes four short double-helical elements and three loops (D, anti-codon, and T loops).
Source: Rfam by way of RNAcentral
UCCCUGAUAGCUCAGUUGGUAAAGAAUCUGCCUUCAAUGCAGGAGACCUAGGUUGGAUCCCUGGGUUGGGAA